RNAcentral lists this long non-coding RNA (886 nucleotides) under Monodelphis domestica (gray short-tailed opossum). RNAcentral describes it as "lncRNA (ENSMODG00000042087.1)". The record is from RNAcentral. Lineage: Eukaryota; Metazoa; Chordata; Mammalia; Didelphimorphia; Didelphidae.
CACUGCAGACUAUUCAGAUAUUUUCUCUACCUUUCUUUAAUCUUGCUGCCAGGUGUUCAGAAGUGAUAUGAUGAAGCCAAAAUCUGACAUGACUUCCCACAGAAUUGUAGCAUUUCAAAGUUGAAAGAGAAUCUAAUUACCAUUUAUAUAUUUCUCAAGUGGAAUCAACUACUUUCUGAGAUAAUGAACCUUUCUGAUGGGGCUACAAAUAGACUUGCAAAUUCUCCAUCAAAGCCCAUUCCAGCAGCUUCCUGCAUUUCUCUAUUUUGUGUUUUCUUUACGUGUCCCUGCAUGGCCCGUGGAAUGUCCAAAUGUUUCAGUGGUUGUGAAAUUUAUUCAGAAGUGAAGGAAUCAUUUCCCUUACUCAGAGUCUAUUUGGUGUGUUUAUUUAUUUCUCUUUAAGGCACUGCUCUCAUACUUUAAAAAAAUGACUCAGGAAUUCCUCUUUUUUUGUUUCCAGGCAGACAGCUUGAGCACAUUUGGAGAAUGAUGCCUUCAGGGUGACAAAUGGAGAGGCCCCAGAUAAUCAUCUGCUAUUUUGGCUCCUGAAAUUGCCAAUUAUAGGAUUGUAUCUACAGUCAAUUCUCAAUUUACCUACAUGUCGAUCAUUCACAGAAAAAUUUUAUUCCUUGACUUCCCCCUCCACCUAGCAGAUUUUGAGACAUGCUCCCCAAUUUCUCCUUUCUACUAACCAUUGUUCCCAUUUUUAAUGAGUGAAAUAGGCUCAGUUUGGUGAAUUUCUCCAGUAUUGCUCAGGCUCCUGGACUUAGGAAUAGAGAAAUCAAAUGGAAGGUCCUCUCCAGGGAAGAAGAUUAGGAGAUCAAAAUGGUAAGAGGUCAGGGGGUAAAGAGGGAAACAUUAAAGUAGCACAUCAUUGAGUUAGCGU